Non-coding RNA from Caenorhabditis elegans, 285 nucleotides. Lineage: Eukaryota; Metazoa; Nematoda; Chromadorea; Rhabditida; Rhabditidae. The record is from Ensembl.
AGAUAGAUUGAAUAUUCGGCGGCGGGGCCAUGCCGGCAACGCGAGAAACCUGACAAAACAACUGUGAGGUACGAGCGGUUUUAGUCGAAGACGGAAAGAAGAGAUCGGUUGCGGCAUCGCGGAGAAGAACUUGAAGCAGGAAGAAGCGUGGAUUGGCAAGCCGAGCUGCAUAGCGGCUGCCGGACGACUGCUAUUUCAACUGAGUCGAUAAAAAGUGAUCGGCUGAAGGAAGAAGAUGGCAAAGGGGGGGGGGGGAGAAGUUGGGGAAUGCUACUGAUCAAAGAU